RNAcentral lists this ribosomal RNA (443 nucleotides) under uncultured bacterium. Its description in RNAcentral is "partial 16S ribosomal RNA". It matches the Rfam family "Bacterial small subunit ribosomal RNA", at positions 338 to 795 of the family's 1533-position model. The record is from RNAcentral.
ACUACGGGAGGCAGCAGUGGGGAAUAUUGGGCAAUGGGCGCAAGCCUGACCCAGCAACGCCGCGUGAAGGAAGAAGGCUUUCGGGUUGUAAACUUCUUUUCUGAGGGACGAAGAAAGUGACGGUACCUCAGGAAUAAGCCACGGCUAACUACGUGCCAGCAGCCGCGGUAAUAAGUAGGUGGCAAGCGUUAUCCGGAUUGAUGGGGUGUAAGGGUCGUGUAGGGGGGAGAGCAAGUAAGAUGUGAAAAAUCAGGGCUCAACCCUGGGCCUGCAUUUGAAACUGUUUUUCUUGAGUGCUGGUGAGGCAAUCGGAAUUCCGUGUGUAGCGGUGAAAUGCGUAGAUAUACGGAGGAACACCAGUGGCGAAGGCGGAUUGCUGGACAGUAACUGACGCUGAGGCGCGAAAGCGUGGGGAGCAAACAGGAUUAGAUACCCUUGUAGUC